Molecule: long non-coding RNA, 1285 nt
Filed under: Brassica napus (rape)
Lineage: Eukaryota; Viridiplantae; Streptophyta; Magnoliopsida; Brassicales; Brassicaceae
Description: long non-coding RNA (BNAP_LNC001776)
Source: RNAcentral
AUUGAACUUAUACAGUAUGAGACAUGCUUAUGUAUGUAAAACAGCUUAUCAAUCAUGAUGCAAGCAGCAGAGACAUUCUACUCAAUUCUACAACACAUUCAUGAUGAUUUCAAGCUAUGGCAAUACACAAGACAAUGCAAUGAACAGAAUAUGAGAUUUUGGGACUCUAGACAUUACUUAAUAUCAAUAAGACAAUACAGCAGCAAAAUAUUUCUAGUGCAAUUCGCCUAGACAUUCUACUAGAAGCUAUAAACUCUAUAUUAAAAUAGAUGAGACUAGGUUUACUCCCUUGUUUAAGAUGGUGAGGAGUGGUCUCUUCAUUUCGCCACUUGAGUCCUCACUUGCUAAGCUUAACAGCUUCUCCUUUCAUCACACAAGCUCACUAACAUUUCCUCUCAAGCUUGAGACCGAGUAUAGGGAAGGUCCAAGCCUGAAGGUGAGCGCUUACUAAGCUUCGUGAACAACCUUGUGGGAACACCUCCAUCUUCUUCAGACUUGAUGCUUACUUCUCCACUUACCCACCAUUGCACUGAGGAGAUACCUCAGCUUACUCUCCAAGUACUUCUUAUUAGAAACUCAUUGAGUCGCUUUCUUCUUCCCUCUACUUCGGCUGCAUCUACACAUGAUCAGCUUGCAAUGGCCUUGAGGAACCAGGUCAUUGAGCUUAGAGGAUCGUCUGGUAGCUCACUUGAAUCCACACCUCAAGCUUGACUCAGUAUAGGUGCAAGCUUGAAGUGAGCCUCAAUGAGACUUCAAACCGGGAGCGCAUCACUACCUACAGCUGCGCUUAACCCAACCGAUCUGCCAUUGCCUUCAGCUCCAAUGCCUUCAGGUCAUCAGUCUCCCCAAGACUUAGGUGAUGACCUUUCCUUGUGUGUCUCCAUGAACCAGGAGCACAUCACUAUCACUAGCUGCGCUAUCUUAACCGGCCAUACACACUAGUCUUUCUCCAUUGCUUUAACAAUGGCAAAGUCUUCCUCUUCUACUUGGAUGGAUGGUGAGCAAAGAACACUUCUUGUGAACCUGAAACACCACUCAAACUCCAGCAAAGAUAAGACACAAUUGCAUUGGGAUCAAUCCUUGACUUCAUCAAGUUUGAUCACCAAUGUCUCAAGCUUUAUAACAUUAGAUAGAAUCAAGACACUGUCAAGUUCUUAUCUAUGCAAGCAACCAUUCUCUAAAUACUAAGCAAGACCUUAUCAGAUUCAAGUCAAAGUAUUAGGCAAUUUUAACCACUCCUUAAUAUGCUACUUAGACUUUUAAUCUAAAUGCAACAAUACAAGGC